Molecule: non-coding RNA, 89 nt
Filed under: Actinobacteria bacterium IMCC26256
Lineage: Bacteria; Bacillati; Actinomycetota; Actinomycetes
Also listed under: 1 other name
Description: SAM riboswitch aptamer (S box leader)
Rfam family: SAM riboswitch aptamer (S box leader)
About the family: The SAM riboswitch is found upstream of a number of genes which code for proteins involved in methionine or cysteine biosynthesis in Gram-positive bacteria. The SAM riboswitch acts at the level of transcription termination control.
Source: Rfam by way of RNAcentral
CGCUCAUCGAGAGCGGCUGAGGGACGGGCCCUAUGAAGCCGCGGCAACCAACGCUUAUGCGUCAGGUGCCAAUGCCCGAACGAUGAGCA